Ctenopharyngodon idella (grass carp) is the source of this 1403-nucleotide long non-coding RNA. RefSeq lists it as uncharacterized. The transcript is spliced from 2 exons. The record is from RefSeq and is a predicted model, not a curated record. NCBI's taxonomy places the organism in Eukaryota, Metazoa, Chordata, Actinopteri, Cypriniformes, Xenocyprididae.
UUUCACAAGAUGUAAUAUAAGUCUCUGGUGUCUCCAGAAUGUGUCUGUGAAGUUUCAGCUCAAAAUACCCCACAGAUCAUUUAUUAUAGCUUGUCAAAUUUGCCCCUAUUUGGGUGUGAGCAAAAACACGCUGUUUUUGUGUGUGUCCCUUUAAAUGCAAAUGAGCUGCUGCUCCCGCCCCCUUUCCAGAAGAGGGCGGAGCUUUAACGGCUCGCGCUUCGGUCGCUCAACAACAACAAAGCUGGAGAAUCUCACGCAGCCAAAAUGAGGAUUGUCAGUAACGGUGUUCAGCCUUACAUUGUUCAAACCGGAGUCGACACUGAUGGAGAGACUCAGGAAGAAGUUACAACUUUUAGACGUUUCUGAAUGGUUAGUGGAUAAAUUUAUGUAGUUGCUGUGGAGUUGAUUCAACUCAUCCACUAGCAUGUGCCGUCAUGUUAAUCUUUUGUGCAAAUCCAGCGUUGAAUCGACCCUCGUUUGUGAAGCAACAUGGCCCCGCCCCUUUUGAUGUGUGUUCUCAAGGGCGGGGUUUAUGUAAAUUUUAGGAUUAGUGAUGUCACAAACCCGCGAAGAAGCUCGUUGUAGUUCCUACUAGCCGUUUGUUGUAGUCCUUAAACAGUGAUUUCUGUAAAAGAAAAUAUCUCCCUUUGCAUUGAACUUUGAGCGUCGUAACUUUGCAGAUGAUGUUUAUGUGUUAUCAUGGAAGAACGAGGGUGAGUGCGGGAGCACGUGUUUUCUUGACCACACAAAAUAAAACAAGAUGCAAGUAUCAGGGAUUGGCGUGUCACAAAAAUUAUUCCUGCACUCAGCUCCUAAUCCGGUGUUGGAUUGUUUUUAUUGUGCCACUACAAUUUAGUCAAAAAAACGUUACGCAUGAGUCGUCUUUGGAUUAAGCAGUGGUCUCAAACUCAGCUCCUGCAGGGUUUAGCUACAACUCACCUGCCUGGAAGUUUCUAGUAUUCCUGGAGUCCUUGAUUAGCUGGAUCAGGUGUGUUUGAUUAGGGUUGGAGCUGAACUCUGCAGGAGUGAGUUUGAGACCAGUGGAUUAAAGGAAGAGUCCUGUAGGGUUUGACUGGAUGUAAAGGAAGAACAGCGCUGAUGGAGUAUCGACCUGCUCUCGCUUGUUUUAAUGUGAAGGAUUAUUGCACAACAGGACAAACGUCUUUGGAUAUGCUUACUGCCGUCGAACCGAUGAAGGAGGAUUGCAGUGGUGUUAUAUUUGCAUUCCAGCCGCAGUGAGAAACUCCACAGGCUCCUGAACGACUGACUAAUGAUCACGGGAAUCUGCCGUUCUGGAGAACCCUUUGCAGAACUUCACACCAGACGAGCCACACAACCCCUUUCAGAAUGAUCUUUAUUUUAAAUGUAUUAUGUAUAGUCGUGGCAAUAAAUGUUUAAAUCAA